Molecule: long non-coding RNA, 919 nt
Organism: Nerophis ophidion (straightnose pipefish)
Lineage: Eukaryota; Metazoa; Chordata; Actinopteri; Syngnathiformes; Syngnathidae
Exons: 3
Source: RefSeq, a predicted model, not a curated record
UUUAUUCUAACUCUCAUGCUAAUGGUUUGUUAUCACUUUUUUGUGCCUUCGUGCCAAGUCUAGUUUUUCUGUUUGUUAUCCCUAGCCUCCAUGCUAGCGCCAUUUGUUUACCUUUUUCUAUUAGCACCAGUGUUUUUGUUCUAGCCUGUUUUGAGUUUAACAAAUCUUUAUUUCUUACCUUUUGCUGUGUUCUUGCCGACGCAUCCUUGGAGGAACUGCUAUGCCAACCCGGCGUUACACCAACAGGUGUAAAAGAAAGUGCAUCGCUAUUCUCCUUCAAAACCGCACUAAAAGAACACCUCCAGGCAACUGCAACCCUAGACUAACCCCCCCACCACAUCCCCCCACCCCAGAUUGUAAAUAAUCAAACGUAUAUACUUGUUGUUAUGCUUUCUGAUGUAACGACCUGCUCGCAUCGUGGUGCGGAUGUCGUUCUCCCAGGGAUGCAGACGGGCUUCGGACACAGCGUGCAGAAAGAUUAUAAAGUCAUACCUGAAAGUCGGGCGGCUGCGGUGACCGCCGAUGUCUCUGAGCGAAGCCAUAUGAAGGAGCCAAGAAAGUCACAGCUGCAUUUUUGACAGCUGCUGCAGGAGGACGCAAACUCCGCUCAAGUCUCCGGGUUUCCUCUGUUGCCCGUGAUCGAGUUGUGUGCCUCGACUUCCCACCGGAUUAUGGACCGCCUCCCUAGAUGCUCGACCCCCGCUCGGACACGGACCUCGUUGCCUCUCUCCAGCCCCUGACCUCUCACUGCCUUCUCGCCUUACUCCUUUGGUCUGACAAAGGAUUCAUCCAACAAGCAUAUACAACAAAUUCUGGUAACAUUUCCAUUGUUAAUGCUGCACAUCUUCUUGCAUCAUUCACGUAGAGUAGCAUACGCACCCCAACUAUUCAUCAGUAUCAAUAAACCUAUUGAACUGAU